GUUGAAGAAGGUACAUAUAUGUUGACCUAUAGUGUGUUUUUUUUUUUUUUUUUUUUUUUUUACAAAUUGUGAAUUACUAGUAGAUGGAGAGUUGUCUCAUUGGCAAUCAUGCCACAACUUCUCAUAUAUAGUAAAGUAUCGCUGAUGUAUUAUUUGGCUUUUCUUAUGAAAUUUACCAUAAUGUGAACUUUAGUGAUGACCGGUUGCACCUGUGAACAGCAUGUUGUAGUCAGCAUGUGCAUUAAUAAAAAGGAAAAUAACAUCGACAUUGGAAAGUGAAGUAUUGGAGCCAGC
RNAcentral lists this long non-coding RNA (294 nucleotides) under Mytilus galloprovincialis (Mediterranean mussel). Lineage: Eukaryota; Metazoa; Mollusca; Bivalvia; Mytilida; Mytilidae. The record is from RNAcentral.